UACGGAGGGUGCGAGCGUUGUCCGGAAUCACUGGGCGUAAAGGGCGCGUAGGCGGCAUGCCAAGCGUGUGGUGAAAGCCCGGGGCUCAACCCCGGGUCGGCCGUGCGGACUGGCGUGCUCGAGCACUGUAGGGGCGGGUGGAAUUCCGGGUGUAGCGGUGGAAUGCGUAGAGAUCCGGAAGAACACCGGUGGCGAAGGCGGUUAGCUGGGCAGUUGCUGACACUGAGGCGCGACAGCGUGGGGAGCAAACAGG
Molecule: ribosomal RNA, 253 nt
Filed under: uncultured bacterium
Lineage: Bacteria
Description: partial 16S ribosomal RNA
Rfam family: Bacterial small subunit ribosomal RNA
Source: RNAcentral